Long non-coding RNA from Sarcophilus harrisii (Tasmanian devil), 7459 nucleotides. NCBI's taxonomy places the organism in Eukaryota, Metazoa, Chordata, Mammalia, Dasyuromorphia, Dasyuridae. The record is from Ensembl.
CUGAUUUAGAUUCAGAAAUCCUAGAUUUGAACUCAGUGAACCCCAGCUCUCACUGGUAAAAUGAGAAUAUUAGAGUAAAGGAUUUGGGUCCCUUCCCCUUCUAAUUCAAUGAACCUUGGAUUUUUAGAACUUUUAUAGUUUGGGGGGUAGGGUGGGGUGGUAUUCAGGGAUCCAGAAAGAUAUCAAAAAAUGGUAUCAUAAUUAUAAAGCAUAUUAUUUGUGACUCUUUAUUGGAUAUGACAGUUCAUGAUGGGCCAAUCUUUCAUGCUAGCUAACAUUCAUACAUGGAAAUAUGAGAAACAUUUCCUUUUUAAUGUUACCAUAGAAAAACAUUUUAAUAUUUAAGUAAUUGCAAAUGGGCUUUUGAACCAUGACAAAACAAAUUGGGUCUUGAGAAUGCUGGAUUAGAGGUAUCCGCUCCACUCCUUCUCUUUACAGGUAAGGAAACUAAGGUAUUAGGUGAUUAAGUGACUUUUCCAACAUCAUAUAACUAGUAGGUAUUCAGUUUGUCCUCCUAAUUCCAAGCCCAGUGUUGUUUCUGUUAAGUGACAUUGUCCCUCCUAGCUUUGCUCAUAUUUUACUAAUUUUUUUCUUAUAGGGACAAUAAUGGGGAUAGUACAAAUCUUGAUCAAUGAAUCUUAGAGAUGCAAGAAUCCUUUUUGGCUCCCUAAAUACACUGGAUUAUACUGCUAAAAGCAUUUGAUUGGAAAAUUCCAGGACAAAUAAAUGGUGGAGAGAAAAGGUCUUCUUCUGAUAUGGAAAAGAAACUAAAACUCCCCAAAAGAAGAAGGACCCUGACGAACCUCAGAAAUUUGUAUUUGCCUAUGUAUUAUUUUUCCAAGACACCCAGGCAGCCAUCAAAGGUCAAAAUCGAAAUGUGGUUUUUGGUGAAGUUUAAUUGUGGCCUCAGUGUGGGAUAGUUUCAGAGAGGAGCAAAAACAGGUGUAUUGGAAUUGCCUUGAAUCACCUCGUUGAAAAGUCCAAGUCCAUCACAAUUGAUCAUCACAUAAUCUUGCUGCUGGGGCACAGGGAAGAUUGUUCCGAAUUUUCUCUAUAGGGGCUCUUCACUACUCUGGGGCUGAUUGUGCUGCAGUCUUCCCCCUGGACUGGGACAAACUGUCAAAAAGAUGUGAUUUCUGCAAUUUGUCUGAAGAGGAAAAGAAGGCAAUCAGAAUUAUCCUUGACUUCUCAGGGUCAUGACUGAUGAAUUUGAAGAGUCAGAGGUUCAUCUCUGUGUUAUUUGCUUAGGUGAAGACAUAAAGCCAGUCACCCCUAAAUUUGGACAUACUAUUUGCAUAUCUUGCCUCAGCAAUGAAGCCCCUCCAUCUUCAUGUUGCACUGAAUGUCAGGAAUUUUACCAGUUGAGAACUCAGGCUGAUAUGGCCAUGCACCCUGAAGUUUUGAAAAAGCAUGUGUGAGAGAUACAGUGAAGAACUAAAGUUGUAUUGUUAUAAUAAUAAGACCCUACUCUGUGUGACCUACUGUAAGUUAGAGGACCAUGAAAAUCAUACACACUGGCCCACUGCAGUGGCUGCUCAGUACUACAAAGUAAAUUAUGCAUUGAUUGAUGUCAUUUCUUCAGGUAGUUUAAUGUGUGCAUUGGUAAUGACUCUUCCCUGAUCAAUUUAGUCAUUCCUAUUUUAGUCUCUCACUUGGAAAUAUUCCCUGAUACUCAAGUAUUUAUCAGAGUGAGGUCAAGUAAUGUUUAUUCUUGUUUCUCUUUCAGGAGGAGAUCCAGAUAAAUCUGGAAAGCUUGUGUAGAAUGGGAAGGGAACUCCAGGAACUUUUCCUAAAAGAGAAAGAAGAAUCCCUCAUAUGGACUGUGGGAUGGGUUAUAAGUAUCUGUCUCCUCAGAUAUCUUGCAUAUAAUCUUACAUAUCCUCAAUCUCAGAGGAUUUUCACAAAAAAACUUCUCAUCAUUGUUAUUUACCAUAUUUAACAAAUGAGGAAACUGGUUCAUAGACAUGUUAUUUAUCACCUGAUAUUAAUGAGUUCAGAAAUUUGAGUCAAACCAGUAUCUCCUGAUCAAAAACCCAGUGCUGGAUGUUAAGAUCUCUUUCCAAGCUGGCUUCUAUCUCUUCCUUCUUAUUUCAGCUUUCUCAUCUGUGUUAUCUAGUCUUAACCCCCUUCACUAAAGUAGAAAAGUGAGAUCUCAAGUGAGAGAGUAACUAAAAUGUAAGAAAUCUUUUGACAAUAAGUAAAGACUUUACUAAUACAAUGGUGUACAACUAUUACAAACUGGCUUUGAAAGAAUACUUGGAAAUCAGUGAAUCAUAUUACCCUUCCAUCAUUAUCUUCCAUAGUUAACAAUUAGUAACACCUAUUAAGUUUCUUUUAUGUUUUAAGUACUGUGACAAAUGGUGGAGAGCAAGCAAAAGGCAAAAAUGGCCCUUGCUUUGAAGGAACUUUCAGACUAAUAAGAGAGAAAAACAUGAAAACAGGCAUGUUCAAUAGGAAGGACUGCCAUGAAAAAAUAUAGGGAAACACUCCUUGGAGAAUUCAGGAUUUGAGCUGAGGCUGAAAGGAAGCCAGGAACCUAUUAGUGAUGAGGACAGGGUAAGUUCCCAGCAUUAGAGGCAUCCCAGAUAUUGCUUGAGAAUCUAGAGUACCUGGAACGCAAAGAUGUUGAAGAAGACUGCAGAGCUUAGAAAUAUAUUUCUGAUGCAUUUUCAGGUUUGCAUGGGCAGACCAGUCAGUCAAACAUGUUCUUAUGCCUUAUGCAGAAGGGGAAAAUUAUAGGUCUUCUGCAGCAGAUAAGCAAUCACUUUUAUAUUCAUAGUGAAGAUUGCUACAAAUAUAGCAACAGUUAUACAACUUAGAUACAUUUAAUGAGGAGAAGUGACAUCAAAGGAUAUCUCCAGAAUUUAGCAAGUUUGGGUCUAGUAAGAGAAAGGAAUAUGAGGCCAUACUUCCUUCAUUGUAAACUGGAGAGUUUGUGAAGAUUAGGAAGGUGACCUGUCCAUUUUUUUUCUUUCUAGCCUAAUGGCUGCAGUGGGAUUGCAGCCAUUAGGGAUUGUAGUAACAUGACCAAAAAUAUAGAAGUAGAAAUUCUGAUUGAGUACAGGGAAAGCCUGAACAUUGGAGAGGCUUCUGUAAAGGUAGAUUGGCUCUAGUUUAUGGAGAAGUUUAAAUUCCUUGGAAAGAAGUAUUAAUUAUAUUUAACAGGAAAUAGGGAGCCAUGACAAGAUUGUGAGGAAAAGAGUUUCUGAAGAAGAUGUAAAAACAGAUUAAUCCCUAAGGUGAGUUGUAAAUUAAUUCACAGUCAAAUUUAAAUGCACAUUCUUUCAGGGAGCUUAUGAAUGAUGAGGAACUUGGGAAGAAGAUCUGUAAUUAAAGUUUUAGUAAAGGAAAAUAUGAAAAAAAAUCCUGACUUGGAAAUAUUAGAGAUACCUUUAGGAAUUGAGAGUCCAAGCUUGGAAUAGUAAAGGAAGCAAAUUUUUCCUGUAAAGUGCUAUGGUGGGUGGUUGAAUGGAUGGGAUGAAAAACAAUUCUUCUUUUGGGAGAAAGAAGGUAGAAGAUAGAGAAAGAUAGGUUGGAGAAAGUUUCUUGAAUGCCUUAAAACUUCUAAAAUAGUUAAACUGAAAAAGCCCAUAGAUGUCAUUCAAAUGUAUAGAAGUUCACAAUUUAAAGGAUAAAAUUGAAAAUGCAUCAGAAGCCAAGUAACUUCCUCCAGUUAACACAAUAGGUAGGAGGAUUUCCUGGGCUUCUGACUCCUGCUUAGCCCAGUAGUCUUUGCAUUACACCACACUGAACAGUCAGGGAAAGGGAGGUUUUGGUGUUGCCCUUGGUAUAUCACCCAAUAGUUUCUCUUCAGGACUAUACAAACAGAGAGCAAUUUCAGCAAUUUAAGCAACUAUGGGAAUAGGAAAGAAAGUCAAAGAGGAAAAAGUUGUUGUGGAGAAGGAAAACAAAAUGCUUUAUGAACUCUAUCAAUACUGAAGGAGAUGGAGGCUAUACAGGAACUACAAAUCAUGAAGAAAAAGAAGGAAGGGAGACCAUGAUGUUCAGCCAGAGCAAAUUCUUAAUAGAAAUGAUCACUGAGCUGGAGGAAAAGAUGCAAAAGCCAGAUUUAAAAAUGCUACAGGUGAGAUUAUGGACUCAUCAGGGUCUAUUGUUUAUGGGGAUAAGAAAUCUUAGACAACUUCUUUCAUUGCUCUUCCAAGAUCCCAAAAGAUUUCUUUUGGCAUCUGUCCUUGUCUCCUGCUCUAUGUACCUUAUGUUUCCUGGUGGUGCAGAUGAGGAGAAGGGGUCACUCCUGAAAGAUGAGGUGUCUGACUACAGACAGCUUGGCUUGAGAGCAGCCUGGAGGACUCUAGGAACUGGUGCUAGGGCCAAAUGAUCCUAGGAUAUGAAGCCUAGGAAUCCUGUUCCUCUAACUUGGAGCUCUCGUGGAGUAAAAAAAAAUGAUAUAAGAACACUCUCAAGGUAUCUUUUAAGAACUUUAGAAUCAAUUGGCAUGGGAGACACUAACAUAAGACAGCCUAGCAUGGCAUGCUCUUAUCAGAGAAGGUGCUAUACUCUACAAGCACAGUAGAAUUGAAUUAGCCCAAAAGAAACAUGAGAUGCACAAAAUUAGAGAAGCUACCCCAAAUGUUCAUAUGAACUAUUUGUGUCCAACCUGUGGUAGGUAGAGCAUUCCAGGUUUCUAUUGGUCUGAUCAGCCACAGUCAGACUGAAAUUCUACUAUAACAUAAUGAUAUCAUUUUGGUCUUCUUGGAAAACGAGGGAUAAUAACCACCAAUCAUAUGUGUAAGCAAUAGUGGCUGGUUUCCACAGUAUCAUAGAGAUGGCUCCAGAAGAUCCCCAUUCAUUCUUAGGAGAACUUUUAUUAGUACCAAUAUUUUUUCCCUCUAUUUUUCUCCAUAUGAAAGAAAAUGCCUGAAUGGGCUUUUUCACAAAAUGAGGUAAACAGGUUGUCCUCUAAAAUCUUCUUUUUUGACCACAUUUCUGCUAUCACAUUAGAGGAACAAUCAAACACUUUGUAACAUGGGGAGUUUAUAUCCAGAAUCCAGCUUUUCCAAGCUGAGAUUUAGUGAAAUCAAGAAAAUAAGAGAAAAAGAUGAUGGGCUUUUUUAGAAGUGGGUGUCACAGAAAGAUUUUAGGAGAAACUUCAUGGACUAUUCUGAUAUUUUUUUUCCUUUCUAGAAUAUGGAAGAAACAUUGGAAAGGUAUGUUUCUUUUUAGAUAGUAGAUUAUUACAGAACUUAGUUUGGGGAUUGGGGGAAAAUGAGCCUGUGUGUUUUCUCAAAAGAGGUAGAGGAAAUAAGGUAUUUAGUACAAUGAAAGGCACAGCCUGUACAAUAUUAAUUUUUUUUCCUAAAGGAGUGUGGUUUGGCCAAAUUUGGAAAUUUUCAUACUGAAUUUGGAUGAUUCUCAUCUCAGUGUCCUAGUGGAAUUUUUAAAAGUCUUUCUAAGUAAGUGUCAGCCCCUUGGGCAAGAACUUUGGGCUUUCCUCACAAGAAUCCUAGGAGGAAAACAACCUACCCAUUAGAAUCUUCAAUGUCUCCACUAUCAAAACUCUGAUGAUGUUGUGUCUUUAACUUGGAAAUUACUCCUAGUAUAGAUAGUCUCAUGUGCCUGAUAUAUGCCAAAAGAUAGAAGAAAGAAGCUGAUCCAGAAUAGUGUUGGGAGAAAAAACAAGGAGAAAAACAAGUAAAGGGAAAAACAAUAUCCAUGAGAUCCACUGAUUGUUUCGUUUGGGACAAUCAUAUAGCUUCAACUGAGGUGAAGUCUUGUUUACAGUCAGGAAAGAAUCACACAGAGGACUUUUAGCAUCAGUUGGGGGCAUUGAGACAUCUAAGCAGGGUACUUGGCCUAUAGUAACUCUUAUAGACUCUGUGUUGAAAGGUAGAAGAAGAAAUAGGAUUCGGAGGAGAGAAUUCCUAGGGGUCUGGGCAAAGGACAAUUUUAGUAAGAAGUCACUAUAUGCCUCUUUCCUAAAGCAUGUAAAAUAUAGAAGAAGGAUUAGGUACUAAAGGAUAUGCUUGUCCAAGGGGAAAGAACUUCCAGGAUCAGAAGUGUAAACCAUUUUCUAUUCCUGACACUUUCUGUGUAGACUUAGAAAGCUCUUUCUAACUCCUUUCAUUUCUGCCUGGCAGGUGAAAGGUAUAUUAAAUGACUUCUAUGAGAUUCCUUUCAUAUCUAUUAUUUUAGAAUAUGUUUUGGAAAUGAAAUCAAAAUCCAGAAACUUGAGGUGCAUGGUUCCUUUCCUUUGAGGGCUGCUACCUGUGUAUUUUGGGCAUAAUGGGAUGAGAUAAGAAUUUGUUUGAUACUCAGACCCUGACAGCCCUAAGAAAUGAAGAUCCCUUAGAAAAAUUUGUGUUAAGAAAUAAGCCUUCAUAUAUUUGGGAACACUCAUCUUCACCUUAAGAAUGUAUUGUUCCAGUCGAUAGACGCUUGAAGAUGUAAUUUUUGUACAAUCUUUCUUUUCUUUUCUGCAUGAUGAACUGAUAGGGUGACAGAAUUUAGGAAAGUAAAAACUGAUGGCUUUGCUGAUCCAAUUUAUUUUGAGAGAUUAAGACAUCAAAAACUUGACCAUUUUUAUUAUACUAUUCCCUUAAUUAACCACGUGUUUAGUUUGAUGAAAACUUAGAAAUGGGAAGGUAACUGUUAAUUCUUUGCCCAGAUGAUGAGAGCUGAAAUACUCUGGGCAUUCCAAACCCAGGAAGUCUAUAAAGUCAUUUAUCUGUGAAUAGUUAUUCUUAUAACUGAAGUUAUCUUUGUCUUUACUGCAAGGAGAAAGAGUUCACAUGGUUUAUUUGGCAAUUUUGCCUUACUUAAAACCACAAAGAUUAAAAUACUAUAUUCACCUCUACCCUGAAAGCUUUCUUAAUUAUAAAUGGCUACUCUUGAAAUAGCUAUGGUAACCUAUUAGACAAAGAGGAAAUGACUGAAAAAAAAGAACUGUACUUAGUUUGCUUUUUACUUUCCUAACUAUAGUAUAGCUAUUUACUGAAAAUUCUUCCUCUGAAAAUACUAAAUUUUCUGGUUAUCCAGGGAAUGAACACUAUAGGAUUCAAGUAAGGUCUUCCUUGCAUUAAAGAUAUUGAAAUUCUUUCUUUUGGACUAAUAUCUUUCCCUUUAUAAGGAUAUAAAGUAUCAGAGAAAUGCAAUUUCUACAGCUUGUCUGAGGAGAAAAAGAGGGUCAUAAGAACUCUACCUGGCUUCUCAGUUAAGAAAUGCCCUACUUAUAUAUUUGGAAAUUUUCAAGCUGAAGACAUCAAAGUAAGAGAAUUCAUUAUAGAGGCUUAGCUCCUGGAUAAAAUGAUGAAGAUGAAGACUAUACCAGAAUUAUCACCACUUUCAGGAUUGCCAUGAAGAGGGAUUAAUCAUCUAGCAAGCUUUUUUCUUCCAAUAAAAGGCAAUCUGAGUAAAAAUGCCUUUGCACAGAUGUUGAAGUGAUUCUAAAUGGUGUUCAAUCUAUUAUAUUUAAUAAAAGUCACAACUUGCCAAAUGCUCA